UACGUAGGGGGCAAGCGUUGUCCGGAAUUAUUGGGCGUAAAGGGCUCGUAGGCGGUCUGUCGCGUCGGGAGUGAAAACUCAGGGCUUAACCCUGAGCCUGCUUCCGAUACGGGCAGACUAGAGGUAUGCAGGGGAGAACGGAAUUCCUGGUGUAGCGGUGGAAUGCGCAGAUAUCAGGAGGAACACCGGUGGCGAAGGCGGUUCUCUGGGCGUUACCUGACGCUGAGGAGCGAAAGUGUGGGGAGCGAACAGG
This 253-nucleotide ribosomal RNA is filed under the name uncultured bacterium. Its description in RNAcentral is "partial 16S ribosomal RNA". It matches the Rfam family "Bacterial small subunit ribosomal RNA", at positions 524 to 776 of the family's 1533-position model. The record is from RNAcentral.